This is a long non-coding RNA of Daktulosphaira vitifoliae (grape phylloxera), 333 nucleotides long. RefSeq lists it as uncharacterized. The transcript has 3 exons. The record is from RefSeq and is a predicted model, not a curated record. Lineage: Eukaryota; Metazoa; Arthropoda; Insecta; Hemiptera; Phylloxeridae.
GCUGCUUGUUGGGUGCCUAUAAUAGGCUUAGGUUUAUGGUCCCUCGCGGGAUUCACUGUACAUCCACAGAUGUGAAUGAUGCGAAGUGAUGACAUUUUAAAUGAUCAGCAAGAUUCCUUCCAGGGGCCCUAAAAUUGUUGAGACUGAAAUGACUGAAAAUGGAAAAGUUACGGUGGGGAAAAAGAUAUGAACAGCAAUGGCGAACAAACCACGAGACCCCUAUAACCUAUUCGUACCGUCAAAUAUUAUAUAUAAAAUUUGCUCAGUGUUUACCGCCCUUAAAAGUGUGAUAUAAUUAUAAUUGUACAUAACAAAUAACAAUGAAUAAAUGAA